GGGUGAUUAUCUCAGAGUUGGUAGAGAAUCUCGUUUACACUAGAGGGUCGUGGGUUUAAGUCCCUCAUUGCCCACCA
Molecule: transfer RNA, 77 nt
Filed under: Actinomycetota bacterium
Lineage: Bacteria; Bacillati; Actinomycetota
Description: tRNA-OTHER
Rfam family: tRNA
About the family: Transfer RNA (tRNA) molecules are approximately 80 nucleotides in length. Their secondary structure includes four short double-helical elements and three loops (D, anti-codon, and T loops). Further hydrogen bonds mediate the characteristic L-shaped molecular structure. tRNAs have two regions of fundamental functional importance: the anti-codon, which is responsible for specific mRNA codon recognition, and the 3' end, to which the tRNAs corresponding amino acid is attached (by aminoacyl-tRNA synthetases). tRNAs cope with the degeneracy of the genetic code in two manners: having more than one tRNA (with a specific anti-codon) for a particular amino acid; and 'wobble' base-pairing, i.e. permitting non-standard base-pairing at the 3rd anti-codon position.
Source: RNAcentral